This 253-nucleotide ribosomal RNA is filed under the name uncultured bacterium. RNAcentral describes it as "partial 16S ribosomal RNA". It matches the Rfam family "Bacterial small subunit ribosomal RNA", at positions 524 to 776 of the family's 1533-position model. The record is from RNAcentral.
UACGGAGGGUGCAAACGUUGCUCGGAAUUAUUGGGCGUAAAGCGCACGUAGGCGGGUCCGCAAGUCGGAUGUGAAAUCCCUCAGCUUAACUGAGGACGUGCAUUCGAAACUGCGGACCUUGAGUACGAAAGAGGGUCGCGGAAUUCCCGGUGUAGAGGUGAAAUUCGUAGAUAUCGGGAGGAACACCAGUGGCGAAGGCGGCGACCUGGGUCGAUACUGACGCUGAGGUGCGAAAGCGUGGGGAGCAAACAGG